AACCUUUUGUAGUUCAUAAGCAUGAUGAUUGGGUGUUCACUCAUAUAUGUGAGAUGUGACCCCUUGAACCUUGUUACCACGUGGGCACAUUACCCAUCUGACA
Molecule: small nucleolar RNA, 103 nt
Organism: Chlorocebus sabaeus (green monkey)
Lineage: Eukaryota; Metazoa; Chordata; Mammalia; Primates; Cercopithecidae
Source: Ensembl